GGCCAAGAUUUCUGGAAUGAAUCAUGGUUUAAAUCUAUAUGGUCCCUGGAUUGGACUGCGGCCGAUCAGGCUGUUGGUGAGGUAAUGGCCCACCAAACCUGUAACCGGUACGGGCUCUGAGAGGAGGAGCCCGGAGAUGGGCACUUAGACAAGGGCCCAGGCCCUAUGGGGCGCAGCAGGCGCGAAACCUCUGCAAUAAGCGAAAGCUUGACAGGGUUACUCUGAGUGAUUUCCGCUAAGGAAGUCUUUUGGCACCUCUAAAAAUGGUGCAGAAUAAGGGGUGGGCAAGUCUGGUGUCAGCCGCCGCGGUAAUACCAGCACCCCGAGUGGUCGGGACGAUUAUUGGGCCUAAAGCAUCCGUAGCCGGUCCUGCAAGUCCUCCGUUAAAUCCACCCGCUCAACGGUUGGGCCGCGGGGGAUACUACAGGGCUAGGAGGCGGGAGAGGCAAGCGGUACUCGAUGGGUAGGGGUAAAAUCCACUGAUCCAUUGAAGACCACCAGUGGCGAAGGCGGCUUGCCAGAACGCGCUCGACGGUGAGGGAUGAAAGCUGGGGGAGCAAACCGGAUUAGAUACCCGGGUAGUCCCAGCUGUAAACGAUGCAGACUCGGUGAUGGGCUGGCUUCGUGCCAACCCGGUGCC
Molecule: ribosomal RNA, 640 nt
Filed under: uncultured crenarchaeote
Lineage: Archaea; Thermoproteati; Thermoproteota
Description: bacterial SSU rRNA
Rfam family: Archaeal small subunit ribosomal RNA
Source: RNAcentral